GUGAUGGAAGGGUUUUGUGAGAAUCUGAGAGUUGGUGAAAUUUAAGGCUUCAGAUCUGACACUAUCUAUCAAAUUGCAAGGACUAGUGAAAAUGGGGAGUGAGAUAAUUGCUAUCAUUGCAUUGAUUAUUUUCCAGGAGACCAUUUUAUAGUAAUCACUUCCUGAGAAUCUUUAUUUUUCUAGGAUUUGAGACAUUCUAUCAACAG
This 206-nucleotide unclassified non-coding RNA is filed under the name Hevea brasiliensis (rubber tree). The record is from RNAcentral. Lineage: Eukaryota; Viridiplantae; Streptophyta; Magnoliopsida; Malpighiales; Euphorbiaceae.